Molecule: non-coding RNA, 1216 nt
Organism: Paramuricea clavata
Lineage: Eukaryota; Metazoa; Cnidaria; Anthozoa; Malacalcyonacea; Plexauridae
Source: the annotation of a GenBank genome assembly
GUGCUUACAAAAAUGUUGGUUUGUGUUCACUGUUGCUAUACUCGUAAGUCGAUUUGUUAUAGGUUAUACAUUACAGCCUGAGUUAGUAGAUGCUUCAAAGACAGUAAAACUAAAAAAUAUAGUGUAGCGAAAUAGCGAAAUAGUUCGCUACAUUUUUUAAGCAGUAGCUGUAGUCAGUAGCGAACUACCUUUGUUCAAAAGUAGCAGUAGUUGUAGCUGACUACAUAUUUUUGAAGUAGCUGUAGUUAUAGCGAACUACAAAAAAUUUGUAGUCAACCCACCCUUGCCCAUAACCUACACAUGACAUGCAUGGCAGUACCCUAUAGUACAUAUAUAUGUACUGUACUCCGUUCUGGCAUUAACUAUUUCGCUGACCUCAGAAUGACAUUUCGUCAAAACUUUUUUCUUCAAGAUUGGUUUAGAAACAAAUUUGUAGUAGGGUUAGGUUACGGUAAGGAUUAAGGUUAGAGUUAGUGUUUGAGUAGAGUUAGUGUUAGUAAAACCGUUGCUUUGUUACGUUUUGUCACUCUGAGCCUGGUUAUAGGUGUAAUAAAUGUAUAUAAAUUUCCACUCGACAAUUUCCAUUUACAAUGCCCCAUCAACCAUCAAUAUUAAACCACUCUCCCUGGAGAUUCAUUACAGGAGGAAACCUAAACUAACUUUAUUUAUCUCAGUUGAGCAGCGUAUAAAGUUAGUUUAGACUUUAGUUUAGGUUUCCUCUUGUAGUAACACUGGAUCAAUAAGAGAUGAUCCUUACUGGACCUCUAGGGAGAACAAUUUACAACUGAUAGAGCUAUCCAGUAUAAAUAAAGUUAGUUUAGUUUAGGUUUCCUCUUGUAGAAACACCAGUAUAAAUAAGGUUAGUUUAGUUUAGGUUUCCUCUUGUAGUAACACUGGAUCAAUAAGUUAAGAGAUGAUCCUUACUGGAUCUCCAGGAAGAACAGGUUAGAACUGAUAGAGCUAUCCAGUAUAAACAAAGUUUAAUUUAGGUUUCCUCCUGUAGUAACACUGGAUCAAUAAGGAUAUUGGACCUUUAUAGGAGAAACAAUUUAGAACUGAUAGAGCUAUCUAGGUAAUUAUUAACUCUUUUAGUUGAAUAUAAACACAUCAGCGGCAAGCUUAGCCUACUUGACGAGUCAUAUACUGGCACAGAAGUGCCUUGCAAUAAGUACUCAAACAUAAGUCUAGGAAAUUCGACCGUGGCGACAUCACCGAA